GUAUAGUACCGUGAGGGAAAGGUGAAAAGAACCCCGGGAGGGGAGUGAAAUAGAACCUGAAACCCUGCACUUACAAGCUGUGGAAGCACAUUUCUUGUGUGACCGCGUACUUUUUGUAGAACGGGCCAACGAGUUACGUUAAGUAGCAAGGUUAAGCACUUAAGGUGCGGAGCCGUAGCGAAAGCGAGUUUUAACUGAGCGUUCAGUUACUUGACGUAGACCCGAAACCGGGCGACCUACCCAUGAGCAGGAUGAAGCGAAAGUAAAAUUUCGUGGAGGUCCGAACCCACGAGCGUUGAAAAGCUCGGGGAUGACUUGUGGGUAGCGGUGAAAUUCCAAUCGAGCCCGGAGAUAGCUGGUUCUCCCCGAAAUAGCUUUAGGGCUAGCCUCAAGGUGAGAGAUACGGAGGUAGAGCACUGAAUGUCCUAGGGGGUAUUGCACCUACCGAAGACUAUCAAACUCCGAAUGCCGUCAUCUUAUACUUGGGAGUCAGACUGUGGGUGAUAAGAUUCAUAGUCGAAAGGGCAACAGCCCAGAUCGUCAGCUAAGGUCCCUAAAUGUAAGUUAAGUGGUAAAGGAUGUGGGAUUGCACAGACAACCAGGAUGUUGGCUUAGAAGCAGCCACUCAUUCAAAGAGUGCGUAAUAGCUCACUGGUCGAGUGAUCCUGCGCCGAAGAUUUCCGGGGCUAAAACUUACUACCGAAGCUACGGCAUCAGUAAUGAUGGGUAGGGGAGCUUCCCAUACGGGUUGAAGCAUGACCGUAAGGACAUGUGGACAGUAUGGGAGUGAGAAUGUUGGCAUGAGUAGCGAGAUGUGGGUGAGAAUCCCACAGGCCGUAAACCCAAGGUUUCCAGGGGAAGGUUCGUCCGCCCUGGGUUAGUCGGGACCUAAGCUGAGGCCGAAAGGCGUAGGUGAUGGACAACAGGUUGAUAUUCCUGUACUACCGAUAACCGUUUGAGAGAAGGGAUGACACAGUAGGAUAAGCUAAGCACACUGUUGGUUAUGUGUGCCCAAGCAUUGAGGCAGUCAAAGUAGGCAAAUCCGCUUUGAUAAUGCUGGGAUGUGAUGGGGAGCGAAAUUUAGUAGCGAAGUAGCUGAUUUCACACUGUCAAGAAAAGUCUCUAUCGAGGUUAAAGGUACCCGUACCGCAAACCGACACAGGUGGGUGAGGAGAGUAUCCUAAGGCCAGCGAGAGAACUGUUGUUAAGGAACUCGGCAAAAUGACCCCGUAACUUAGGGAUAAGGGGUGCCACCAUCAGGUGGCCGCAGAGAAUAGGCCCAAGCGACUGUUUACCAAAAACAUAGGUUUCUGCUAAGUCGCAAGACGAUGUAUAGGAGCUGACGCCUGCCCGGUGCUGGAAGGUUAAGGGGAUCUGUUAGAGCAAUCGAAGCAGUGAACUUAAGCCCCAGUAAACGGCGGCCGUAACUAUAACGGUCCUAAGGUAGCGAAAUUCCUUGUCGGGUAAGUUCCGACCCGCACGAAAGGCGUAACGAUUUGGGCACUGUCUCAACAACAGACUCGGUGAAAUUGUAAUUCCGGUGAAGAUGCCGGAUACCUGCGACAGGACGGAAAGACCCCAUGGAGCUUUACUGUAGCUUGACAUUGGGUCUUGGUACUACAUGUACAGGAUAGGUGGGAGGCUUUGAAACCAGGACGCCAGUUUUGGCGGAGCCAUCCUUGGGAUACCACCCUUGUAGUACUGGGACUCUAACCAUAGGCCAUGAAUCUGGUCUUGGGACACUGUCA
This 1748-nucleotide ribosomal RNA is filed under the name Clostridioides difficile. RNAcentral's name for it is "bacterial LSU rRNA". It matches the Rfam family "Bacterial large subunit ribosomal RNA", at positions 492 to 2259 of the family's 2925-position model. The record is from RNAcentral. Lineage: Bacteria; Bacillati; Bacillota; Clostridia; Peptostreptococcales; Peptostreptococcaceae.